This 24-nucleotide non-coding RNA is filed under the name Arabidopsis thaliana (thale cress). The record is from RNAcentral. Lineage: Eukaryota; Viridiplantae; Streptophyta; Magnoliopsida; Brassicales; Brassicaceae.
AACCUCGCCGUAUGAUAUCCAGAU